Molecule: ribosomal RNA, 1386 nt
Filed under: Cosmioperla sp. JHM-2000
Lineage: Eukaryota; Metazoa; Arthropoda; Insecta; Plecoptera; Eustheniidae
Description: SSU rRNA
Rfam family: Eukaryotic small subunit ribosomal RNA
Source: RNAcentral
UCUGGUGCCAGCAGCCGCGGGUAAUUCCAGCUCCAAUAGCGUAUAUUAAAGUUGUUGCGGUUAAAAAGCUCGUAGUUGGACUUGUGUCCCACGCCGUCGGUUCGUCGCCCGUCGACGUAACCGCACGGUUAUUGCAAGUGGGACGUCCAGCCGGUGAGGCGCCGGAACCGGAGCGGGCGCGCGCGCCCACGUGCCGGCCAGCCGCACUAACCUGCGUGCCGGUCGCGUCACCGUGUCAGCGUCGCGUUGCUUGGCGCCGGGGUGCCGGCCUCAUAUUACUCGUCUCGGUGCUCUUAAUCGAGUGUCUUGACGGGCCGGCUCGUUUACUUUGAACAAAUUAGAGUGCUCAAAGCAGGCUCAAAUGCUUGAAUAUUGUGUGCAUGGAAUAAUGGAAUAGGAUCUCGGUUCUAUUUUAUUGGUUUUCUGAACCAGAGAUAAUGAUUAAUAGAGACUGACGGGGGCAUUCGUAUUGCGACGUUAGAGGUGAAAUUCUUGGAUCGUCGCAAGACGAACAGAAGCGAAAGCAUUUGCCAAGAAUGUUUUCUUUAAUCAAGAACGAAAGUUAGAGGUUCGAAGGCGAUCAGAUACCGCCCUAGUUCUAACCAUAAACGAUGCCAACUAGCGAUCCGCCGGUGUUCCUCCGAUGACCCGGCGGGCAGCUUCCGGGAAACCAAAGUGUUUGGGUUCCGGGGGAAGUAUGGUUGCAAAGCUGAAACUUAAAGGAAUUGACGGAAGGGCACCACCAGGAGUGGAGCCUGCGGCUUAAUUUGACUCAACACGGGAAACCUCACCAGGCCCGGACACUGGAAGGAUUGACAGAUUGAUAGCUCUUUCUUGAUUCAGUGGGUGGUGGUGCAUGGCCGUUCUUAGUUGGUGGAGCGAUUUGUCUGGUUAAUUCCGAUAACGAACGAGACUCUGGCCUGCUAACUAGUCGCAAUAACGACAUCCGCAUUCGUGCUGUCGGCGACAAAUACAAACUCUUCUUAGAGGGACAGGCGGCUUCUAGCCGCACGAGAUUGAGCAAUAACAGGUCUGUGAUGCCCUUAGAUGUUCUGGGCCGCACGCGCGCUACACUGAAGGAAUCAACGUGUGUUUUCCCUUGGCCGAGAGGUCCGGGUAACCCGCUGAACCUCCUUCGUGCUAGGGAUUGGGGCUUGCAAUUGUUCCCCAUGAACGAGGAAUUCCCAGUAAGCGCGAGUCAUAAGCUCGCGUUGAUUACGUCCCUGCCCUUUGUACACACCGCCCGUCGCUACUACCGAUUGAAUGAUUUAGUGAGGUCUUCGGACCGUCGCGCGGCAGCGCGUGCGAGCGCCUGUCGAUGUUCGACGGAAAGAUGAUCAAACUUGAUUAUUUAGAGGAAGUAAAAGUCGUAACAAGGUUUCCGCG